GAACGCCCGGGCUUCGGCCUGGUUAUUCUAACCCUUUGUUGUCCGACUCUGUUGCCUCCUGGGCGACCCUGCCUUCCGGCGGGGGCUCCGGGUGGACACUUCAAACUCUUGCGUAACUUUGCAGUCUGAGUAAACUUAAUUAAUAAAUUAAAACUUUUAACAACGGAUCUCUUGGUUCUGGCAUCGAUGAAGAACGCAGCGAAAUGCGAUAAGUAAUGUGAAUUGCAGAAUUCAGUGAAUCAUCGAAUCUUUGAACGCACAUUGCGCCCCCUGGUAUUCCGGGGGGCAUGCCUGUUCGAGCGUCAUUUCACCACUCAAGCCUCGCUUGGUAUUGGGCAACGCGGUCCGCCGCGUGCCUCAAAUCGUCCGGCUGGGUCUUCUGUCCCCUAAGCGUUGUGGAAACUAUUCGCUAAAGGGUGUUCGGGAGGCUACGCCGUAAAACAACCCCAUUUCUAAGGUUGACCUCGGAUCAGGUAGGGAUACCCGCUGAACUUAAGCAUAUCAAUAAGCGGA
This 513-nucleotide ribosomal RNA is filed under the name uncultured fungus. RNAcentral describes it as "eukaryotic LSU rRNA". The stretch from base 152 to 305 matches the Rfam family "5.8S ribosomal RNA". Lineage: Eukaryota; Fungi. The record is from RNAcentral.